RNAcentral lists this ribosomal RNA (1435 nucleotides) under uncultured organism. Its description in RNAcentral is "16S ribosomal RNA". It matches the Rfam family "Bacterial small subunit ribosomal RNA". The record is from RNAcentral.
ACGAACGCUGGCGGCGUGCUUAACACAUGCAAGUCGAACGGAAAGGCCCUGCUUUUGGGGGGUGCUCGAGUGGCGAACGGGUGAGUAACACGUGAGUAACCUGCCCUUGACUUUGGGAUAACUUCAGGAAACUGGGGCUAAUACCGGAUAGGAGCUCCUGCUGCAUGGUGGGGGUUGGAAAGUUUCGGCGGUUGGGGAUGGACUCGCGGCUUAUCAGCUUGUUGGUGGGGUAGUGGCUUACCAAGGCUUUGACGGGUAGCCGGCCUGAGAGGGUGACCGGCCACAUUGGGACUGAGAUACGGCCCAGACUCCUACGGGAGGCAGCAGUGGGGAAUAUUGCACAAUGGGCGGAAGCCUGAUGCAGCAACGCCGCGUGCGGGAUGACGGCCUUCGGGUUGUAAACCGCUUUCGCCUGUGACGAAGCGUGAGUGACGGUAAUGGGUAAAGAAGCACCGGCUAACUACGUGCCAGCAGCCGCGGUGAUACGUAGGGUGCGAGCGUUGUCCGGAUUUAUUGGGCGUAAAGGGCUCGUAGGUGGUUGAUCGCGUCGGAAGUGUAAUCUUGGGGCUUAACCCUGAGCGUGCUUUCGAUACGGGUUGACUUGAGGAAGGUAGGGGAGAAUGGAAUUCCUGGUGGAGCGGUGGAAUGCGCAGAUAUCAGGAGGAACACCAGUGGCGAAGGCGGUUCUCUGGGCCUUUCCUGACGCUGAGGAGCGAAAGCGUGGGGAGCGAACAGGCUUAGAUACCCUGGUAGUCCACGCUGUAAACGGUGGGCACUAGGUGUGGGGUCCAUUCCACGGGUUCCGUGCCGUAGCUAACGCUUUAAGUACCCCGCCUGGGGAGUACGGCCGCAAGGCUAAAACUCAAAGGAAUUGACGGGGCCCCGCACAAGCGGCGGAGCAUGCGGAUUAAUUCGAUGCAACGCGUAGAACCUUACCUGGGUUUGACAUGGAUCGGGAGUGCUCAGAGAUGGGUGUGCCUCUUUUGGGGUCGGUUCACAGGUGGUGCAUGGCUGUCGUCAGCUCGUGUCGUGAGAUGUUGGGUUAAGUCCCGCAACGAGCGCAACCCUUGUUCACUGUUGCCAGCACGUUAUGGUGGGGACUCAGUGGAGACCGCCGGGGUCAACUCGGAGGAAGGUGGGGAUGACGUCAAGUCAUCAUGCCCCUUAUGUCCAGGGCUUCACGCAUGCUACAAUGGCUGGUACAGAGAGUGGCGAGCCUGUGAGGGUGAGCGAAUCUCGGAAAGCCGGUCUCAGUUCGGAUUGGGGUCUGCAACUCGACCUCAUGAAGUCGGAGUCGCUAGUAAUCGCAGAUCAGCAACGCUGCGGUGAAUACGUUCCCGGGGCUUGUACACACCGCCCGUCAAGUCAUGAAAGUUGGUAACACCCGAAGCCGGUGGCCUAACCGUUGUGGGGGAGCCGUCGGAGGUGGGACUGG